Molecule: unclassified non-coding RNA, 21 nt
Filed under: Mus musculus (house mouse)
Lineage: Eukaryota; Metazoa; Chordata; Mammalia; Rodentia; Muridae
Description: oocyte_clustered_small_RNA11808
Source: RNAcentral
UGGAAAGUCUGCAGUCCUGAG